CGGUACGAUCGGUGACAGGUGGUGCAUGGUUGUCGUCAGCUCGUGUCGUGAGAUGUUGGGUUAAGUCCCGCAACGAGCGCAACCCCUAUUGUUAGUUGCCAUCAUUCAGUUGGGCACUCUAGCGAGACUGCCGGUAAUAAACCGGAGGAAGGUGGGGAUGACGUCAAAUCAUCAUGCCCCUUAUGACCUGGGCUACACACGUGCUACAAUGGUUGGUGCAACGAGUUGCGAGUCGGUGACGGCGAGCUAAUCUCUUAAAAGCCAAUCUCAGUUCGGAUUGUAGGCUGCAACUCGCCUACAUGAAGUCGGAAUCGCUAGUAAUCGCGGAUCAGCACGCCGCGGUGAAUACGUUCCCGGGCCUU
RNAcentral lists this ribosomal RNA (362 nucleotides) under uncultured Streptococcus sp. Its description in RNAcentral is "bacterial SSU rRNA". It matches the Rfam family "Bacterial small subunit ribosomal RNA", at positions 1020 to 1382 of the family's 1533-position model. The record is from RNAcentral. Lineage: Bacteria; Bacillati; Bacillota; Bacilli; Lactobacillales; Streptococcaceae.